This 254-nucleotide ribosomal RNA is filed under the name uncultured bacterium. RNAcentral describes it as "partial 16S ribosomal RNA". It matches the Rfam family "Bacterial small subunit ribosomal RNA", at positions 524 to 776 of the family's 1533-position model. The record is from RNAcentral.
UACGUAGGCAGCGAGCGUUGUUCGGAGUUACUGGGCGUAAAGGGUGUGUAGGCGGUUGUUUAAGUUUGGUGUGAAAUCUCCCGGCUCAACUGGGAGGGUGCGCCGAAUACUGAAUGACUUGGAGUGCGGGAGAGGUGAGUGGAAUUCCUGGUGUAGCGGUGAAAUGCGCAGAUAUCAGGAGGAACACCGGUGGCGAAGGCGGGUCUCUGGGCCGAUACUGACGCUGAGGAGCGAAAGCAUGGGUAGCGAACAGG